GGGGAUUUAGCUUAGUCAGGAUAGAGCAAGGGUGAUCACAUUAACAAGACCUAAGGCGCAGGUUCGAAUCCUGCAAUCUCCACAA
Molecule: transfer RNA, 85 nt
Filed under: Chryseobacterium indoltheticum
Lineage: Bacteria; Pseudomonadati; Bacteroidota; Flavobacteriia; Flavobacteriales; Weeksellaceae
Description: tRNA-OTHER
Rfam family: tRNA
About the family: Transfer RNA (tRNA) molecules are approximately 80 nucleotides in length. Their secondary structure includes four short double-helical elements and three loops (D, anti-codon, and T loops).
Source: RNAcentral